RNAcentral lists this ribosomal RNA (870 nucleotides) under Phellinus laevigatus. RNAcentral's name for it is "eukaryotic LSU rRNA". It matches the Rfam family "Eukaryotic large subunit ribosomal RNA", at positions 66 to 915 of the family's 3401-position model. The record is from RNAcentral. Lineage: Eukaryota; Fungi; Basidiomycota; Agaricomycetes; Hymenochaetales; Hymenochaetaceae.
UAACAGGAUUCCCCUAGUAACUGCGAGUGAAGAGGGAAAAGCUCAAAUUUAAAAUCUGGCGGGCUCUGUCCGUCCGAGUUGUAAUCUGGAGAAGCGUUUUCCGCGUCGGACCGUGCAUAAGUCUCCUGGAACGGAGCGUCAUAGAGGGUGAGAAUCCCGUCCAUGGCACGGACCGCCGAUGCUUUGUGAUACGUUUUCAAAGAGUCGAGUUGUUUGGGAAUGCAGCUCAAAAUGGGUGGUAAAUUCCAUCUAAAGCUAAAUAUUGGCGAGAGACCGAUAGCGAACAAGUACCGUGAGGGAAAGAUGAAAAGCACUUUGGAAAGAGAGUUAAACAGUACGUGAAAUUGUUGAAAGGGAAACGCUUGAAGUCAGUCGCGUCCGACGGAACUCAGCCUUGCUUCGGCCUGGUGUACUUUCUGUCGGACGGGUCAACAUCAGUUUUGACCGGUGGAGAAAGGUAGGGGGAAUGUAGCGCUGUUUCGGCGGCGUGUUAUAGCCCCUUGCUGUAUGCAUCGGUUGGGACUGAGGACCGCAGCACGCCUUUUUGGCCGGGGGUUCGCCCCACGUACCGUGCUUAGGAUGUUGGCAUAAUGGCUUUAAGCGACCCGUCUUGAAACACGGACCAAGGAGUCCAACAUGCUUGCGAGUGUUCGGGUGGAAAACCCUUGCGCGUAAUGAAAGUAACAGUUGGGAACCUCCGCAAGGGGGUGCACCGACGCCCGGCCCUGAAGUUCUCUGACGGUGCUGCGGUAGAGCAAGUAUGCUGGGACCCGAAAGAUGGUGAACUAUGCCUGAAUAGGGCGAAGCCAGAGGAAACUCUGGUGGAGGCUCGUAGCGAUUCUGACGUGCAAAUCGAUCGUCAAAUUUGGG